AGAGACUUAGGAUAACUUAGACCAAGGGCCUUCAAAGCCCUCAGUGAAGGUUAGAAUCCUUCAGUCCCUG
This 70-nucleotide transfer RNA is filed under the name Stylephorus chordatus (tube-eye). RNAcentral describes it as "tRNA-Trp". It matches the Rfam family "tRNA". Rfam says of the family: Transfer RNA (tRNA) molecules are approximately 80 nucleotides in length. The record is from RNAcentral. Lineage: Eukaryota; Metazoa; Chordata; Actinopteri; Stylephoriformes; Stylephoridae.